AUGCUGAGUUGCAACAUAUCCAAGACAAAUGCAACACUGAUCACCUGGACCAACAGCAGAUCUGUUUUUCAAUAUUCCACUGUGCUGAAUUGCACCCAUUCAAAUUUCUCAUUUCAUAGACUGAAAAUAAAUCAUGAGUUCCCUACAAAGCUAAUUAUUUUUAGUGCUCAACCUGAAGAUGAAGGACUUUAUAAAUGUAUCAUAGCUGACCUAGAUCGCCUACACAGCAUUACAUGGAAUUUAACUGUGUCUGAGAACCCAGAAGAAUCGAUUUCAUCAAAGUAUUUUACAUUCAUACUUCCAUCUGCAAUUGGAUUCCUUCUGUGUGGCAUCACACUGGCUGUCUUCUUCUACAGGUGAGUUAAAGCUUUUAACUUCACAGGGAAUGCAUGAAUGUGUCUGUUUUCGAUCCUGCUGCAGAUUUGGCAGCACUUGUAAGACUGAUUCGAUCAUAAAGCUAAAACUGCAUUUUAUUUGGUCUCUGCCUGCAUUGAAAGAGUCACUUUGUUUCAAAUUACAAAUGACUAUUUUGGAAUCUGUUGUGAAUGUUGUGUUCACACCAUUUCUGUAAACACCACAAACUUAUUCUAAAUUUAAAGAGGUGAAUCAGCCCUCGGUGGUUUUUGCUUGGCCUAUUUUUCUAUGCAGUAGAGGGUGAACAGAGGAAAUGCCAAUGAAGAAGUGGUUAAAGGUGGUUAGACUCAAAGUUGACUCUGAUACCAUUUUCUUUGUGAUAAUCCUACCACAGCCUGUACGUUUAUUUCUUACAACUAGAAAAGUAUACCAGCCAGUUAUUUUCAAAGACUCUGAGCCAACUCUGCAGAGGCUCAUACUUAAACCCAACAGCUUUUGAAUAAUGCAUUUUAAAAUAAAAAAAGCCUUGAAUCUGAGUAUCUUACAGAAUAUGGUGUCUCAGAAAAUAAUCCUUGGGGAAACCUUAGGUCCUUGCAUUCAGAACAAACAACAAAUUGAAAUGCACUCCUCAAAAACUUGAUAUUUACUGCUGUAAAUCAAGUUUUUGAGGAGUGCAUCGGAAACCAGUCCAACAAAACACCAGAAGACAAAACAGAGUCUAGUGUUUUCCAUUGUUAAUAACUGUGAAUGUUGUGCCAUUGAAGACAUGCAUAAUUUAAUAUAUAAUUCAAAACUCUAUCUUGUUAAAAAUACAGUUAAAAAUAGUGACUGUUUUCAUUUUCUGCAAAUGAUGGCGGCAUGGACAUUUUGCAUUUCCUGUUUUCAUUAUGACACUUAGAGUUUGUUAAGAUUUACUAAUGCUUAAAACAGGUGGAUAUAACUAAGAUGUACGGUGUCAUUAUUGGUCACUGCUUUUACUCUGCAGAAAAAUGAUGAUGAGGACACUGAAUCAGGAUCCAGUCCAGGAUCAGUUUCCCCCUCAUUCAGGAGAAGAGGUCAGAAGAUCUUUGUCAUCUUUAACACUCUCACGUGCCUCUGCCUUAAUUUCUAUCUUUGCAUCACCACCAAUUCUUAUUUGAUCCUUUUUGGCUUUUAUAGGCAGCACACUCACAACCACAGGGUGGCACUGCUCUUUGUACAAACAACAAACGGAGCAGUCAGCAUAUGGAGAGGCUCAAUUUAAUCUACGGUCACUUCUGAGCUGAUGAUUCUUCCAGUUACACAGAGACAUGGACGUUUUUCAACUUCAGAGGGACGACAACAAGGCUACUAUUGCCUCUUCAGCUCAGAAACACAGCUCUGGCUGUGAGCACAGCCAACCACUUCCAUUCAAUCCCUCUGUUCACAAGGAGCAGCCAGCUAGAAGAAAGUUUGAAUUCAAGGACUGGAAAAAAGAACUAAACAUCUUGUUUCAGAGACAGAAUGAACAUUGUUAAAUAAGUUUUCAGUGCAGUAAAAACUUAUUCAGGAACAUUGUACAUUUAUGUAUUUAAACAGUUAUAAUGGUUACUGCAAUUUAAUAAAAUAAUAAAAUAUAUUCACAAUCCCCUUAUAUCAUUUCCUAAAUCCCUGUAUUUUGUCAAUGCAGCCAACAGGGGUGAACGUGGUUCAGGGGGUUGGGAAGCUCAUCUGGUAACCAAAAGCUCAUCUUGUCAGUCUGCCCCAGGGCAGCUGUGGCUACAACUGUAGUUUGCCUCCACCAGUGUGUGAAUGUGAGAGUGAAUGAAUAGUGGAGUUGUAAAUCAAUUUGAGGGUCUCGAAAAGCGCUAUACAAAUGCAAUCCAUUAUUAUUAAUAGUCGUAAGGAAAAUACCUCAAACAUUUUUAUCACCUUCACCUUUAGAUCAGUGUUUUGAGGUCAGAUGUACUUUCUAUAUGUUCGCAAUGCAUACCACAAGAAAUCAUCAUCAAAGUUAGAAGUUUUUUUC
RNAcentral lists this long non-coding RNA (2341 nucleotides) under Oreochromis niloticus (Nile tilapia). Its description in RNAcentral is "lncRNA (ENSONIG00000032299.1)". Lineage: Eukaryota; Metazoa; Chordata; Actinopteri; Cichliformes; Cichlidae. The record is from RNAcentral.